CCACCACACAUCGCAUCUCCUCGUCCCCGUCCUCCGCCUCCACGCCUCCCAUCUUCUCCACCCCGUCCUUCACCUCCACCUCCCCGCCUCCAACCGAUGAGGGCAGCCAAGAUCCAUGGCGACGGCGGCUGAAGCGGCCCGAUGGAAGCGGAAGACAACCAUAGCCGAUGCGGCGAGCAGCUGCUGCUCGCAAGCAGCGAAGAGGGCCAUGGAUCUACUGCAGGGGCCUUCUACUCCGUCUCCCAGGCCACGCAGCUGCCUCGCCGUCUGGAGAUUCGGAUCAGCCAGCGCGGGACGAGGAGAGGACGACGACCGUGACCUGUAGGAGGCACAAGCUCGACCUUGCUGGGGACGACGAUGCCCGCACAUCAGCAGGAGCUCUCCGUCUCUCCUGUUCCAUGGACGGUGACGACCGGCACCCCACGCUCGAGCUCGACAGUGAGAUCGUCCGCCCCGACCACCAUGAUUCCCCACAGAACAAGGUCGACCCUCUCGCUAUGUUUUUCUUUCCUUUCCAAGUGAUUACUGCUCUGCUCUGGCAUAGUUCUCCAAGGGCUCUCACAUUUUCUUGUACUGAACUAUGAUGCACAAAACGUGGCUAGUUACAUCAUGGUUUGUUCACAUUUUCUGACAUGCAAGUUACAUCCAACUAGCAUUGCGAGCAGCAGCAAUGUAGAAUUUCUGAGAUCUGCUAGUUAGUUAAAGCUCCUUGUUUAAUAAGUAAACGCCCAUGAGAUGCUCCUGUUGGUUCCUUGCUACUCUGUGCAAGCAGCAAGGAUGUUAUUGCCAGUGGGGCUGGUGACGAUGAUAUCUGCCUUUUUGCCGAGGAGAAGAGUACCAUGGUAUCUUGUCCUUCCACUGAACAUUCAAAUUCUGGCAACUCUUGAUUUAUCUCCAUGGGAUCUACUUAGCUGACCACUUUGUCCAAGUAAUAUUUGUAGCAGAUAGUGGGGUGCGAUGUUCCAACAUGGUUUGUUCAUUUUUUUUCUAACUGCAGUGACCACUCUUUGAGAAUUUUGGAAACAUAAAGUAGACCCCUCAUUGUACAAUAACAAUGUAUUUCACAAUAUUCUUAUAUUUAGGUUGUUAAUACACUCUCACAUUUUUCCCUUGACAUGGAUAUGUUCAGAAGAGUAAAAUGACCACAGCAAUGUAAAGUGGAUUAAAAUGGGCAUAAUACUCACGAUUCAUAUACUUUACAUGACUAGUCCAAUCUCUGCCAGCAAGUGUUGUGUUAUGCAAAUUUCUAGUAAAUGAUGCAAUAAACAAUUUCCUCAUGUUUUAUUGCUAAGCUUUUCGGUAAACUGUCAACAUUGCCUUAGAAUAUUAUUUGGUAAUCUUCUGUCUUUGAAGUAACUAGAAUCAGGGCAAUGAAAGUGCUAGUGCUUUGAAGUUAUGUUCUUCUACAGGUCUGCACAUAUAUUUCUGCAAGUCAUUUCAUUGUUUAAAAAUUUGAGGAAUUCUAAAUUUAUUACUUGAUGGCUUAUACCUGCACUUCGUGUUAUAUUUCUACAAGCACGUUACUUCUAGAUGCUUGGAGGCAUGAAGUCAUGCUUGAAAUUCCAUAGUGCCUGAACCAUCAAUGGCAACAUAAUUAUCAAAUAAAGUUCACAGAUAAACUUGCAAAACACAUCAAAUCUUUGAUGUUUUUGAGCUAGUCCCGUCGCCAGUUUUUUCACUCAAAAUAUGGGGCACACAAAUUGUUUCGAGUAGUAGUAUUCAACACUCAAUACGAUACAAUCAAUGGAGGUAACUACAAAAUACACAACAAACCUUGUGUACAGACCUUUUCACUACAAAAUAAUUCAAAACUAAUUAUAUUCUGCAAGCAAAACAACAUCUUUUUAGGAACAUCGUGUUGUUUAGCUUUUGAAAUGCUGGAAUUCUGAUAUUCUGAGAUUUUUCAAGCAAAACUUCUAGGACUGUAAAAUGACAACUGACAACAUGGCAAUCAACACAAUGGUUCAGAUGCCCUAUGGAAGAGACACUCACACCAUAAAAUUGCAAUACUGGUGAGCUGUGAAAAUUAAUUCGCUCGGCUUGGUCAAGAGCCCUAUGGUCACGCAAGCCACACGAUGAUGUCCCUUCUUGAACCGACAUUCCAAGAAACUGAGACUGGGGAACAAUCAGCACCCACAGAAACUGCAAGCACCACCCUCUGUUAUUAAGUUGGUAAAGCUCUACUCGCCUCAAACACAAACUUCUCCAUUCAAACCACGGAAUGCACAUGGCUAAUGUGGAAAAUCAACAAAACCCCAAUCUGCUACUAUUAAUUGUUGCCGAGGUGUAGAAACAUAGUUACAAUGAGAUUGUUGAUGAUUACGGUGGAGAACAACUUCGUCAUGACCUUGUGGGAGGGGCAGUGACAAUGUAGACGAAGCUGCGGCCGCUAGUGUGCAUGAACUCGGAGCCGGUGACGCGGCCGAUGGAGCCGAACACGACCUCCAGAUCGACCGUGGACAUGCUCUCCGCCAGCCCGACGACGUCCAACGACAUGGACUAUCUGCAAAAGAAUUGAAAUGCAACAAUCAUAUGCAAAUAUAUUAGAUAAAAGACGACUGAGUUCCAAAUUAACAUUUGCACCACAUCAUAUGAAGCAUUGUGGUAUGAUCUAGCACCAAAUUUUGGAUUUCGAAAAAAGUUCGUGAAGAUGAACCUCAAGGACCAAAAGAUCGGCAUGGGCCCUCCAUUGAUAUGUGCACUCUGUCAGGCGGUGUGUGCAGAGAAUGUGAACCUUAGAGCUGCUGAGGCGGGAGGCGCCGCAGUCCAUCCGCGUCCACAAUAUCGGCCUUACUUCUACUCCAGCGCGAGCUCCAGUACGCAGGUGUGAGCAUGCCAAAGUAGGCUGAAAUUCCGAAUCCGAGAGGGCGAGGCCAUGGUCGCACUCUAGCGAUCCCUCACCACUCUUCCUGCCCCCUCUCUUCUUCUCGUUGCCUCUUCCUCCUCGUUUCCUUCUCCCAAUCCUCCUGCACUCUAUUGUAGGUGUAGUACUCUCUACUCUAUUUCUCGCCUCCUCCCCGUCGUUCUCUACCCUGUUCCCAAUCCUCCCGUACUCUGUUGUAGGUGCAGUACUCUCUACUCUGUUUCUCACCUCCUCCUACCCGUCGUGCUCUACCCUGUCGCUAGUACAGUGUUUUGUUUCUCUUCUCAGCAAAUCUUCUCUGCUCUUUAAUGAACAUACAUGAACCAACUGGUUAAACGUGGUCAAUCAUGUAUUGUCUUAAAAAAUAAUUGUAGGAUCAGAAAAUAACACACAUGGCUUUGCAGAUUUGCGCUCGGCAAGGUUCCAAAGCAGUAUACAAUAGUCAAGAUUGCAAUGAUUUAUCUCUCCAGCACAUGAACCCUCGAAUAUAAACUACAUAUUGUUCAAAUGAAGUGCAUGGUGGAAGAUUCGUUAUGGGGCUGUGUCAGUAUGGCUCCAGUGCCCAGAAAUCGUAUGCACUAAGCUUCAGAAACCAAAGUAGCACGUUUGCUACAGAGUUGUGUCAUACGUAUCAAGACUUGGUUCACAUCUCAUUCAUUAUGGAGUUGUGUCAGUAACUCAAUAUGACUUCAGUACCCAGCUUAUCUUGGUAUUUGUUAUUAAUAAGGACAUGGUAUUGUUGCUCUUAAGUUAAUCAAUUCAUUCUUUUUUCA
RNA transcript from Triticum aestivum (bread wheat), 3636 nucleotides. RefSeq lists it as uncharacterized. The transcript is spliced from 2 exons. NCBI's taxonomy places the organism in Eukaryota, Viridiplantae, Streptophyta, Magnoliopsida, Poales, Poaceae. The record is from RefSeq and is a predicted model, not a curated record.